UCAGGUUUCUUGAGAUAAAGUAUUUUCCAAAUAACUAUCUGCCAUCUUCAAAAAAUUUCAUUUCUCAUUAAUCCAGCUGUUCUCAUAGGAAAGUGAGCUACUCACCUGUACAUCUCCAACGUUUACAAGUACCUUUCAGUUGCUGCAGAAAUGCUGCAAUAUAUAUGUCAUGCUUUAGCUCUGAGAGUAAAGUCAGUUCUUCAAGAAAAAGAAAAAGCCACUUCUUAACACACUGAUAACAUAAAUUCACCUCUCUGUACAAGGGGAGAUGUGAAGAGAGACAAAUAUAUGUAUUUUCCUCACUUCUUUCUUUGACUCUGUUCACUUUUUAGAGAAGACCUCUCCUCAUGCUGCAGUGCAUGAUGAUUUUGUACAAGGUGAAAAUAAUCCACCAAGACUCUGAAGUGUAGCUAGAAAGCAACAGAAAUGAAAUAAACUUCUCCUGAGUGAUGAGGUGAAGAGAUUGGGACACAUUUAAUAAUGACUGCAAUACUUGAAAUCUACAAGUGCUCAGCACUCAAAACUCCAAUUAAAAACUACAAGUGCUCCGCACCUCUUAAAGGCUGA
Molecule: long non-coding RNA, 567 nt
Filed under: Struthio camelus australis
Lineage: Eukaryota; Metazoa; Chordata; Aves; Struthioniformes; Struthionidae
Description: lncRNA (ENSSCUG00000015718.1)
Source: RNAcentral